Molecule: ribosomal RNA, 504 nt
Filed under: uncultured bacterium
Lineage: Bacteria
Description: partial 16S ribosomal RNA
Rfam family: Bacterial small subunit ribosomal RNA
Source: RNAcentral
AUUGAACGCUGGCGGCAGGCCUAACACAUGCAAGUCGAACGGUAGCACAGAGAGCUUGCUCUCGGGUGACGAGUGGCGGACGGGUGAGUAACGUCUGGGAAACUGCCCGAUGGAGGGGGUUAACUACUGGAAACGGUAGCUAAUACCGCAUAACGUCGCAAGACCAAAGAGGGGGAACUUCGGGCCUCACACCAUCGGAUGUGCCCAGAUGGGAUUAGCUAGUAGGUGGGGUAAUGGCUCACCUAGGCGACGAUCCCUAGCUGGUCUGAGAGGAUGACCAGCCGCACUGGAACUGAGACACGGUCCAGACUCCUACGUGAGGCAGCAGUGGGGAAUAUUGCACAAUGGUCGCAAGCCUGAUGCAGCCAUGCCGCGUGUAUGAAGAAGGCCUUCGGGUUGUAAAGUACUUUCAGCGGGGAGGAAGGCAGUGAAGUUAAUAGCUUCACCGAUUGACGUUACCCGCAGAAGAAGCACCGGCUAACUCCGUGCCAGCAGCCGCGGUAA